UGUGGGGUGGGGGGCAGCCCCGAUGUAAAUAAUUAACGUGACGAAGUGAAGUGUGUAUAACAGAAAGGCGACGGCCCUUUGGUGACGUGUGGGUGCCCCAGGAGGUCGCUGGGCCGGCGCUGACCCGCGGGCAGCGGCGUUGGCAUUGAGCAGCCCGUGGUGUUGUGUGGGAGCGGGUAGCGGUCCGUGUGUGCCGAGGGUAGGAGGUGCUGUGUGAGGUGUGUAUAGUGUACAUUUCUAAAAUAGCUUGCUUGUAUUGUGAAGAUUUUAAAGACAAACUUGAGAAUUCUAGCCUAACUAUUAACACAAGUUUAACAUCAGUUACCCCACUGGGUUCAGAGCCUCUUGAAUGUAUAUUCCUUUUUGUAACCUAAAUGACCUAUUCUUCUACCAGUCAGCCAGACAUCCUAUUUAUAUUUUUAAUUUUAUAUAUUACUUUCCAUUCGUUUCCAUUAUUUCCAGCAUGUUCCUCAGUUUGGUUUCUUUUCGCUUCGUUUGGGGUUUCGUUUUCUUCCUUUUUGCACAAGCGACGAACCGUUCUCUCCAUCCCGGUGUUUUCCAACCUCUUUCCCCCCCCUUCCCCUUCUCCACCCCUGUUGUUUUUUCCUCCCACCGUCCGUUUGGGUUCUGCUGGGCCGGGAUGAGGCGGGGUGGGGAGGAGGGGACGGGACGGCUCGUUUUCCAUUUGCAGCUUUCUGUGCAAAUGCCAGGUCUUUUUUGCCGGUCCACUGCAAACGCUUCACUUGCUGGUUGCUUUAAACAAGGAAACUUAAAACAAAACAACAACAAAAAAAAAAGGUAACCUUAUCAGUCCGAGGAGAGCGCGGCGGGAGGAGGGAAGCGCACACCUGUAGGGACACCGCUCGGGCUGCAGGGCUGUGGCUGCUUCCCCCCCCCCCCCCACCUCUCCAGGGACCCCCACCAGGAGCUCACUCAGCCCCACAGCCGCCUGCGUGGGGUUUCCAGAGUCCAGCAGAGCCCGGCUGCUGCGGGGCCGCCCAGCCUGGUGGCUUUGUGCUGCAGGUAGAGAACACGCAUCUCUGCUGUUUUGCUAUGAACACUGGUCUGAGGUUUCCAGGCCCUCACCCACGGCCGUGGGCUGCGAAGGAUCCGAGUGGGAACCCGACUCCUGCCUGCUGCCGGGGCUGGGAGCACCAGCUGGUAUGAGUGAACCUACAGUAUAUUGUCAGUAUUCUGGUAUUCUUCUGGUUCAACAUACAUUAUAGCUCAUAUAUAACCUGUAUUAAUUGUAUAGAUUGUGCAUUUAAAGCUGUUACCAAGUUGUCAGAAAAUAAGAGAAGAGAAAAAGAAAAAAAAUAAGGUCAUAUGUAAUAUUUUGUUUGUAAGUAUCCUUUGUAUCAUAGCAAAGGAAAUGUUAAAAAAAAAAAAAAAUCAACUGUAAUAAAGUAAUUUUAGUACACGGAGUGUCUGCCUGCGUCCCUGGUGGGGCUGGAGGGUGGGGGCCCCACCGCUAUGGCCCCUUCUGGGGUUGGGGUCCCUCCCCAUGCACUGCUGCGGGGUCCCUGCAGCAUCCUGCAGCCAUCCUGGCUGCCAUGGCAACGGGAGGCGGCCUUGCUUUGCUCUGUUGCCGUGACAGCGGCGGUUGCAAUGGGGAUCGGGGAAUGGGGGCAGGAUGGAGGUGCUCCUGUGCCCAUUACAUCCGCCCUCUGCAGCCCCCGCCCUGCAUCAUAGAACGGCUGCGGGGCGGCGGGGGGACCCCCUGCCAUGCCACGGUGGGGGAGCGCGGGGUGAUGUUUCCUAAUGGAGGACACAGCCCAGCAGGGAUAGAGCAUUGCAGCAAGCCCAGCCCCCAGCCUGACAUUCAUUAACCGGCACGUUCUGCUGCUCUCAGCACAGCCAGCCGUCCCCACGCAGCGCUCCGAGUGCAGAGCGGCGCGCCCUG
Molecule: long non-coding RNA, 1903 nt
Organism: Gallus gallus (chicken)
Lineage: Eukaryota; Metazoa; Chordata; Aves; Galliformes; Phasianidae
Source: Ensembl